AUACAUGCAAGUCGAGCGGACAGAAGGGAGCUUGCUCCCGGAUGUUAGCGGCGGACGGGUGAGUAACACGUGGGUAACCUGCCUGUAAGACUGGGAUAACUCCGGGAAACCGGAGCUAAUACCGGAUAGUUCCUUGAACCGCAUGGUUCAAGGAUGAAAGACGGUUUCGGCUGUCACUUACAGAUGGACCCGCGGCGCAUUAGCUAGUUGGUGAGGUAACGGCUCACCAAGGCGACGAUGCGUAGCCGACCUGAGAGGGUGAUCGGCCACACUGGGACUGAGACACGGCCCAGACUCCUACGGGAGGCAGCAGUAGGGAAUCUUCCGCAAUGGACGAAAGUCUGACGGAGCAACGCCGCGUGAGUGAUGAAGGUUUUCGGAUCGUAAAGCUCUGUUGUUAGGGAAGAACAAGUGCAAGAGUA
RNAcentral lists this ribosomal RNA (422 nucleotides) under uncultured Bacillus sp. RNAcentral's name for it is "bacterial SSU rRNA". It matches the Rfam family "Bacterial small subunit ribosomal RNA", at positions 51 to 463 of the family's 1533-position model. The record is from RNAcentral. Lineage: Bacteria; Bacillati; Bacillota; Bacilli; Caryophanales; Bacillaceae.